Molecule: long non-coding RNA, 1116 nt
Organism: Mangifera indica (mango)
Lineage: Eukaryota; Viridiplantae; Streptophyta; Magnoliopsida; Sapindales; Anacardiaceae
Exons: 5
Source: RefSeq, a predicted model, not a curated record
CUUGGGUCUCCUGAAGAUGAGAACGUUAUUAAAUCAGAUCAUAUAUUCAUAACUUAUAAUUGCAUUAAGCUGCCUGGGAAAUUUCCUCCACUCAAUUUGAAUAGCCAGGGUGGUGUUGAGUUCUUCGUUGAACAUGCAACUAAGAAUGGUAUGGUUCGAAGCCCAAUGAAAAGAUGUGGAGUGACUUUAUUGUAUCACAAAAAUGAUGAUUGGAGAAAAGAUGCAAGAGUGGAUGAAGAUAUGAGAUUGAGUUCUAUAAGUUGCUCUAUUAAUGAUUGAUUGAAGUGUGGUCUAUAUUGCUGCGGUUAACAUCACAAAUUUCAUGAUUUGGAGAGAUCUUAUGAAAUUUUAGAUAGAUGGUUUCCCCAAUAAAAAUAUACAAGCGACGGUUGUUACAUGAACUAUGGAUUUAUGAGAUUGAUGAAAGAUCUCAUAAGCGAUUGAAACUUGAAGGUUGAAAUGUUGUUAUAGAAAAGGGGUUGUUGAGUCCUCGGUUAACAGUGGGAAACAAAUUGAUGCCGUACAUUUCAUUCAUGCCUUCCAGCUUACUAAAAAGCUUUCCCUCUGUUCCCGUCUUGAAGACAUACUUGAAGAAUUGAAGGAGAAACUCACAGGGGAAGGGUGUGAGUUUGGGUGGAGAUACUAGUGCACAGACUGAUGUAAAUGCACAGGAACUUGCUGCUUUGAAAGCUGUAGUUAGUUGUGUCCAAGAGUACAGGCUUGAACCUUACUAACCUCUCGAUCCACUUCAGAAAAGGAUUGAACAACUGGAGAGGUAUCUGAUAAGAAGUGCAAGAAACAAAGAGCAAACUGAGGAUACUGUGGAUUUCGUUCUCACAGUGGCAAGGCAGCUCCCGGGAAGCAUAUAGAGGAAUGCCUGAGAGAUACCCUCAGGCUGGUCCAAACGCUCAUGAUUAUCAAGUUCCUGGCCAGCCUGUUUUUGCUCAGCAACCAAAUGAUCGAAGAAUAUGUUUUAUCCCCAAGAUGAUAGAGUUAAUCUAACUUCUUAAGGUGCAGUCUUCACACCAGCCAUUUAUGUAGUUAUCAAAUGCAGUAUUUGUAUGCAACUUUUAGUGGAUAUGCAGAGAAUUUAUCCCUUAUUCCGCUAUUCUUAUA